Molecule: non-coding RNA, 67 nt
Organism: Potamilus streckersoni
Lineage: Eukaryota; Metazoa; Mollusca; Bivalvia; Unionida; Unionidae
Source: the annotation of a GenBank genome assembly
GUGGCCUAGUGGUUAGUGCAUCCGCCUCAGAUGCGGGAGGUCGUGUGUUCGAUCCCUGUUCGAGUCA